RNAcentral lists this ribosomal RNA (427 nucleotides) under uncultured bacterium. Its description in RNAcentral is "partial 16S ribosomal RNA". It matches the Rfam family "Bacterial small subunit ribosomal RNA", at positions 355 to 774 of the family's 1533-position model. The record is from RNAcentral.
UAGGGAAUCUUCCGCAAUGGGCGAAAGCCUGACGGAGCAACGCCGCGUGAGUGAUGAAGGUCUUAGGAUCGUAAAACUCUGUUAUUAGGGAAGAACAAACGUGUAAGUAACUGUGCACGUCUUGACGGUACCUAAUCAGAAAGCCACGGCUAACUACGUGCCAGCAGCCGCGGUAAUACGUAGGUGGCAAGCGUUAUCUGGAAUUAUUGGGCGUAAAGCGCGCGUAGGCGGUUUUUUAAGUCUGAUGUGAAAGCCCACGGCUCAACCGUGGAGGGUCAUUGGAAACUGGAAAACUUGAGUGCAGAAGAGGAAAGUGGAAUUCCAUGUGUAGCGGUGAAAUGCGCAGAGAUAUGGAGGAACACCAGUGGCGAAGGCGACUUUCUGGUCUGUAACUGACGCUGAUGUGCGAAAGCGUGGGGAUCAAACA